RNAcentral lists this ribosomal RNA (428 nucleotides) under uncultured bacterium. RNAcentral describes it as "bacterial SSU rRNA". It matches the Rfam family "Bacterial small subunit ribosomal RNA", at positions 355 to 796 of the family's 1533-position model. The record is from RNAcentral.
UCGAGGAUCUUCGGCAAUGGGCGCAAGCCUGACCGAGCGACGCCGCGUGAGCGACGAAGGCCUUCGGGUUGUAAAGCUCGAAAGUAUCAAGGAAAGCGCAAGCUUGACCGCGAUACAGUAAGCACGGGCUAAGUUCGUGCCAGCAGCCGCGGUAAGACGAACCGUGCGAACGUUGUUCGGAAUCACUGGGCUUAAAGGGCGCGUAGGCGGGCCGCCAAGUCAGGGGUGAAAUACUCCAGCUCAACUGGAGAACAGCUUUUGAUACUGGCGGCCUCGAGUGAGGUAGGGGCAUGCGGAACAUUGGGUGGAGCGGUGAAAUGCGUUGAUAUCCAAUGGAACUCCGGUGGCGAAAGCGGCGUGCUGGACCUCAACUGACGCUGAGGCGCGAAAGCCAGGGGAGCAAACGGGAUUAGAUACCCCUGUAGUCC